UUUAAUAUUUAAUAUUUAUUAUUUAAUACAUAAGAAAUAAUAAUGAAAAAAAAAUUCAUUAAAUAUGUAAUAAUUUGUUACAUUGGACAGACAAAAAACUAAUGACCCGCCCAAUUAUAACGUCCCCCGGUUCCACACCCCGGUGCGUUAGUUUGUCUCUGAGGUCUCCCACGAUUUUCUUGAGGUGUUGGUGGUCUUUGGAUGCUGACCUGAUCGAGCGAUGGCUGGUUGGAAGGUCUGGCGGAAG
This 247-nucleotide long non-coding RNA is filed under the name Lathyrus oleraceus (garden pea). RNAcentral describes it as "Pisum sativum (pea) long non-coding RNA (PSAT_LNC019584)". The record is from RNAcentral. Lineage: Eukaryota; Viridiplantae; Streptophyta; Magnoliopsida; Fabales; Fabaceae.